Molecule: non-coding RNA, 940 nt
Organism: Callithrix jacchus (white-tufted-ear marmoset)
Lineage: Eukaryota; Metazoa; Chordata; Mammalia; Primates; Cebidae
Source: RefSeq, a predicted model, not a curated record
AUGCUAAACAAACAUGAGGUGUUGCGCUUACAGUCCAGGUGGGAAUAUGAUAUAAAACGAUACCUGCGGUUCCUGCCUGAAUGCAAAAAGUGCGUGCUUUGGAGGUUUUUGAGGACAGCAGAGUUCAGUUCAGUAGGCUGCUGCGACCCAGCAAGUAUUCGGGAAGACCCGGUGCUGCUCUGUGGGGCUCUGGCCACUCCGGGCCUGGCCGGCACCAUGUGUGUGUUCGGGUACGACUGGCGCCGUGCGCGUUCCACCCACGAGUUUUCCUCCAAGGACAUCGACGGGCACACGGUUAACCUGGACAAGUACCAGGGCUUCGCGUGCAUCGUCACCAACGUGGCCUCCCAAUGAGGCAAAACCGAAGUGAACUAUGCUCAGCUUAUCGACCUGCACGCCCCAUACUCUGAGUGUGGUUUGCGGAUCCUGGCCUUCCCCUGCAACCAGUUCAAGAAACAGAAGCCGGGGAGUAACGAAGAGGUCAAAGAGUUCGCCUCUGCUUAUAACAUCAAAUUCAACAUGUUCAGCAAGAUCUGCAUGAAUGGGAAAGACGCCCACCCGCUGUGGAAGUGGGUGAAGGUCCAGCCCAAGGGCAAGGGCCUCCUGGGAAAUGCCAUGUAGUGGAACUUCACCAAGUUCCUCAUCGACAAGAAUGGCUGCGUGGUGAAGCGGUGCGGACCCAUGGAGGAACCGCAGGUCAUAGAGAAGGACCUGCCCUGCUAUUUCUAGCUCCACAAGUGUGUGGCCCUGUCCAGGCCCCUGCCCUCGCCCCCGGAGCCUUCCACCUGGCACCCAUGACGGCCUGCCUGCAAACCAGCUGAUGGUGGGGCAGACCUGAAAACCCGGCGUGCACCCCCGCCGGAGGAAGGUCCCGUGGUCCGCUGGGCUCGGCUUGGCGCCCCCACCCCUGGCUGCCUUGUGGGAAUAAACAAGACAAAUU